RNAcentral lists this ribosomal RNA (450 nucleotides) under uncultured bacterium. RNAcentral's name for it is "bacterial SSU rRNA". It matches the Rfam family "Bacterial small subunit ribosomal RNA", at positions 45 to 494 of the family's 1533-position model. The record is from RNAcentral.
GGCCUAACACAUGCAAGUCGAGGGGUAGAGCUAGCUUGCUAGCUUGAGACCGGCGCACGGGUGCGUAACGCGUAUGCAACCUACCCUUUUCUGGGGGAUAGCCCGAAGAAAUUCGGAUUAAUACCGCAUAAGACCACGGAACGGCAUCGUUCAGUGGUCAAACAUUUAUGGGAGAAGGAUGGGCAUGCGUGCCAUUAGCUAGUUGGCGGGGUAACGGCCCACCAAGGCGACGAUGGCUAGGGGAUCUGAGAGGAUGGCCCCCCACACUGGUACUGAGACACGGACCAGACUCCUACGGGAGGCAGCAGUAAGGAAUAUUGGUCAAUGGAGGCAACUCUGAACCAGCCAUGCCGCGUGCAGGAAGACGGCCCUCUGGGUUGCAAACUGCUUUUAUUCGGGAAUAAACCUAGAUACGUGUAUCUAGCUGAAUGUACCGAAGGAAUAAGGAUC